This 501-nucleotide ribosomal RNA is filed under the name uncultured bacterium. RNAcentral's name for it is "partial 16S ribosomal RNA". It matches the Rfam family "Bacterial small subunit ribosomal RNA", at positions 28 to 523 of the family's 1533-position model. The record is from RNAcentral.
GAUGAACGCUGGCGGCGUGCUUUACACAUGCAAGUCGAACGGCAGCACGGGUGCUUGCACCUGGUGGCGAGUGGCGAACGGGUGAGUAAUACAUCGGAACGUACCUUAUCGUGGGGGAUAACGCAGCGAAAGCUGUGCUAAUACCGCAUACGCCCUGAGGGGGAAAGCGGGGGAUCGCAAGACCUCGCGCGAUUAGAGCGGCCGAUGCCUGAUUAGCUUGUUGGUGGGGUAAAAGCCCACCAAGGCGACGAUCAGUAGCUGGUCUGAGAGGACGAUCAGCCACACUGGGACUGAGACACGGCCCAGACUCCUACGGGAGGCAGCAGUGGGGAAUUUUGGACAAUGGGGGCAACCCUGAUCCAGCAAUGCCGCGUGAGUGAAGAAGGCCUUCGGGUUGUAAAGCUCUUUUGUCAGGGAAGAAACACCGGCUCUAACACAGUCCGGGAAUGACGGUACCUGAAGAAUAAGCACCGGCUAACUACGUGCCAGCAGCCGCGGUAA